Molecule: transfer RNA, 71 nt
Filed under: Theobroma cacao (cacao)
Lineage: Eukaryota; Viridiplantae; Streptophyta; Magnoliopsida; Malvales; Malvaceae
Rfam family: tRNA
About the family: Transfer RNA (tRNA) molecules are approximately 80 nucleotides in length.
Source: Rfam by way of RNAcentral
GGGCAUUUGGUCUAGUGGUAUGAUUCUCGCUUUGGCUGCAAAGGUCCCAAGUUUGAUUCUUGGAAUGCCCC